Molecule: non-coding RNA, 1046 nt
Organism: Arachis ipaensis
Lineage: Eukaryota; Viridiplantae; Streptophyta; Magnoliopsida; Fabales; Fabaceae
Source: RefSeq, a predicted model, not a curated record
UAGCUUAAGAACAAAACACAAAGCUCUCCUUCUACUAGCCCUAACCCACUAUAACCCACCACUCAUCAUCAGAGCUUGGCCAUCAUCGCACAAAAUUAGCUUCACGCAGCCCUCACCAUCUAGUCCUAACCCGCCGUCGAAGAAAGCAGUUUGUGGUGCGUCGUGACUGCGUCUCUGCUCUCCUUGCUGCGUGGGUCGUUGCUGCUUCUCCCCUCUCCUUGUCGUGUGGUCGUUGCUGCCUUGGCCGUCGAUGCUUUUCCUCGUUGUUUAUGGGUUGUCACCUCUUCUGCUUUUGCUUUGCUGCUUCUGCUAUCACACUGUCGUCUGCCCCUCUGGACAUCGUUGCUUCUGAAUCGCAUCCUAUCACUGGUUUUCUGCCUCCUCGUUAUGGCUCAACCUCUGUUUAGGCACAUCUGCAAGCUGAGAAUAAAAAGUCUAAAAAAACCAGCAAUUAGAGCUUUCCAAUCUAUAUUUAGGAAAGAGAAGGUAGGGUGAGUGUGAUGUCACGAAAGAAUUACCAUACCAACUUUAUUCAAGAAAAAUGAAGAAAUUGCCACCCUUAAGCAGCAACAUGCAAAAGAGAAAGCAACCUUAGAGGGUAAGGUUGAUGUGAUGCAACAAGAAGUAGAUGAACUAAAAUCUCAGCAACUAAAAAGUUCAGGAGUAGACCUUGAGAUGUUAACUGCUCAACUAGGAAGUACUUCAGGCAAUCCGAACAAUGAUGCUAAUGAGGAGGAAAACAUAUCGAAGGGAAAACAAAUUUGAGAGUAAAAGUCAUAAAAUUGUGGACAUGAUGAUAAACUUACUCGCUACUUGGUUACUUCAACUCUCUUUUGUUAUUGAAUAUUUUGCAAAGAUGAUAUAGUUAGAGGUCGUUAUGACUUAGACUAGUAUUAUGACAUUUUGAAAAGUGAUGAUGUUAUAAUUAGAAGUGGUUAUGACUUAGAGUAGUAUUAUGGUAUUUUGCAAUAAUGCUAUAAUGUGAUUGUGGAUUUUACAGAAUACUUUAUAAAUCAAAUUUGAUGGUAAAUAUUCAAUUAGUUUCA